CACUGCAGUGACUAAUCAAUAUCCCACCAAAUCAAUAAAAGUUUCGACAACAUGACAUGGCAAUUAUAUUACUACCCAGCCUGUCAAAGCAAAACAAACAGUUCAUACAAUUUCAACACAAUUUCCAAUUCAGCCAUUCAUGCCAAUAUCACCAUAAGUCAUUCAAUUUAAACCAUAAAUUUACAACACAAUCAAACAAUCUCCAAUUACUCAAUUUCUAAAAUCAUCAUUCAAUUUCAAAAUGAUUUAUAAAACUCAUUUCAUUUAAUCACAUUUUACUUAUAAAACAUAAGGAUUUACCAUUUAAACUCAUUUUUCUAUAAAAUCACAAAAACGAAUAAAAACUACUUUAAAUAAUUAAGACGAUAAUAAGGUUACUCAUAAUAUCGAGAGUCGAAGUACUCCUAGUCCUAGUCUUCGGGUACAAUCUUCUUACCCUUAUUGGAAGUUUCACCACCUAAAUAUAAUGCACAACAAGCAAUUUACUAUAUCUGUACUAAACCGUUAUAAAAUUAAUUUAGGCUCUAUAUGAAUGCAUGAAAUGGGAUGCGAAAUAUUCAGAUUAUUAUCUAAAUAUUGUGUUCUACGUAGCUUCAAUUAAGUAUCGAAAUAAAAUGGUAUUGGCGUAAUUCAAUCUAUACACCUGUUAAUUGGCCAAUACAUCCAAUUCAACUCCAAUUAACUUGAUUCCACUUCCAACACUCCAAGUCAUCAAUUACAAGUUAAAUAAUAUGUAAUAUCACAAAAAUCCAUCAUCAAUAUCUUCCUUGUAAAAUUCGGCCAUUGAAGGUUUAGUGUAGAACAUGAAAUUUUCAUGCUUGAUUUUUACACCUUACAUCAUAAAACAACUAAAAACACCUAAAUAGCAUGAAAUUCAUCAAAGUCCAUUAUCCAAUUUCUCUCUUGAAAAUUUCAGCCAAGGAGUGUGGGUGAAGGGCAUGAAAUUUCUUGCUUGUUUUUCAUGCUAAACAUCACCAAACAACUAAAAACACUAAGAUACCUUGAAAUCUAACCAAAUAAAUCAUCAAAUCUUCUCUCCCUAAAUUCGGUCAGCCAUGAAUCCUUCAUGAGAUCUUGAAUUUUAACCAUGGUAAUUGAAAAAAAAUGCAUAGGAAAGGUAGAUCACAAGCUAGAAUUAAGAAAUUUUACCUUUACUUGCUUAAUUCCUUGAAAUCCAAUGAAUUUUCUCUUGAUUUUCUUCUCUAGGGUUUGUUCUAUGGUUUUUCCCUUUUGUUC
This 1236-nucleotide long non-coding RNA is filed under the name Theobroma cacao (cacao). RNAcentral describes it as "long non-coding RNA (TCAC_LNC001440)". The record is from RNAcentral. Lineage: Eukaryota; Viridiplantae; Streptophyta; Magnoliopsida; Malvales; Malvaceae.